This 83-nucleotide transfer RNA is filed under the name Felis catus (domestic cat). It matches the Rfam family "tRNA". Rfam says of the family: Transfer RNA (tRNA) molecules are approximately 80 nucleotides in length. Their secondary structure includes four short double-helical elements and three loops (D, anti-codon, and T loops). Lineage: Eukaryota; Metazoa; Chordata; Mammalia; Carnivora; Felidae. The record is from Rfam by way of RNAcentral.
GCCUGGGUGGCUGUUCAGUUAAGCAUCUGACUUCGGCUCAGGUCAUGAUUUGCAGUUCGUGGGUUCGAGCCCCGCAUCAGGCU